RNAcentral lists this long non-coding RNA (283 nucleotides) under Rattus norvegicus (Norway rat). Its description in RNAcentral is "long non-coding RNA NONRATT000180". The record is from RNAcentral. Lineage: Eukaryota; Metazoa; Chordata; Mammalia; Rodentia; Muridae.
CCUGGAUGACUAAACCUGACAGAAACGCUGGUGGGAGGCUCAGGCGGGUGCCAGUGCCCGCGUAGGUCCUGCUCGCCCCGCAGCCACCACCCUCCCGGUGACCAUGAUAGGAUCCAUUCAGAAGUCUGUAAUGGUGCCCAGGACUGGGCUGACUUCUGCGUCUCUGCUUGUCCUAGCAUCUAGCAUACAGACAUGUAAUCACUUGCCUUUUAGCUGUGUCACCCUCCUGCUCCCUUCAGGAAUGCGUAUACUGUCUCAUCUAGUCCCAGCUUUUCACUCAAGG